This 389-nucleotide ribosomal RNA is filed under the name uncultured bacterium. RNAcentral describes it as "bacterial SSU rRNA". It matches the Rfam family "Bacterial small subunit ribosomal RNA", at positions 28 to 417 of the family's 1533-position model. The record is from RNAcentral.
GACGAACGCUGGCGGCGUGCUUAACACAUGCAAGUCGAGCGGUAAGGCCCUUUCGGGGGUACACGAGCGGCGAACGGGUGAGUAACACGUGGGUGACCUGCCCUCAGCUCUGGGAUAAGCCUGGGAACCCGGGUCUAAUACUGGAUAUGACUCCAUGACGCAUGUUGUGGGGUGGAAAGCCUUGUGCGGCUGAGGAUGGGGCCCGCGGCCUAUCAGCUUGUUGGUGGGGUGANGGCCUACCAAGGCGACGACGGGUAGCCGGCCUGAGAGGGCGACCGGCCACACUGGGACUGAGACACGGCCCAGACUCCUACGGGAGGCAGCAGUGGGGAAUCUUGCGCAAUGGGCGAAAGCCUGACGCAGCGACGCCGCGUGAGGGAUGACGGCCU